AGAGGUUUGAUCAUGGCUCAGGAUGAACGCUAGCGGCAGGCCUAAUACAUGCAAGACGAACGGUAAGUUGAGUAGCAAUACUUAGCCAAGAGUGUCGUACGGGUGCGUAACACGUAUGCAACCUACCCUAUACAGGAGGAUAGCCUAGGGAAACCUGGAUUAACCCUUCAUAGUAUUAUUGGAUGGCAUCAUUUGAUAAUUAAAACUGAGGUGGUAUAGGAUGGGCAUGCGUCUGAUUAGUUAGUUGGCGGGGUAAUGGCCCACCAAGACGAUGAUCAGUAGGGGGUUCUGAGAGGAAGAUCCCCCACACUGGCACUGAGAUACGGGCCAGACUCCUACGGGAGGCAGCAGUAGGGAAUAUUGGUCAAUGGAUGCAAGUCUGAACCAGCCAUGCCGCGUGCAGGAAGAAGGCCUUCUGGGUUGUAAACUGCUUUUGCCAGGGGAUAAAAUUUCCAUGCGUGGAAAACUGAAGGUACCUGGUGAAUAAGCCACGGCUAACUACGUG
This 505-nucleotide ribosomal RNA is filed under the name uncultured bacterium. Its description in RNAcentral is "bacterial SSU rRNA". It matches the Rfam family "Bacterial small subunit ribosomal RNA", at positions 1 to 507 of the family's 1533-position model. The record is from RNAcentral.